This 497-nucleotide ribosomal RNA is filed under the name uncultured bacterium. RNAcentral describes it as "partial 16S ribosomal RNA". It matches the Rfam family "Bacterial small subunit ribosomal RNA", at positions 28 to 507 of the family's 1533-position model. The record is from RNAcentral.
GAUGAACGCUGGCGGCGUGCCUAAUACAUGCAAGUCGAGCGAACGGACGAGAAGCUUGCUUCUCUGAUGUUAGCGGCGGACGGGUGAGUAACACGUGGAUAACCUACCUAUAAGACUGGGAUAACUUCGGGAAACCGUAGCUAAUACCGGAUGAUAUUUUGAACCGCAUGGUUCAAAAGUGAAAGACGGUCUUGCUGUCACUUAUAGAUGGAUCCGCGCUGCAUUAGCUAGUUGGUAAGGUAACGGCUUACCAAGGCAACGAUGCAUAGCCGACCUGAGAGGGUGAUCGGCCACACUGGAACUGAGACACGGUCCAGACUCCUACGGGAGGCAGCAGUAGGGAAUCUUCCGCAAUGGGCGAAAGCCUGACGGAGCAACGCCGCGUGAGUGAUGAAGGUCUUCGGAUCGUAAAACUCUGUCAUUAGGGAAGAACAUAUGUGUAAGUAACUGUGCACAUCUUGACGGUACCUAAUCAGAAAGCCACGGCUAACUACGUG